GACGAACGCUGGCGGCGUGCCUAAUACAUGCAAGUCGAACGCAGUGGGGACGGGUGAGUAACAAGUGGGUAACCUCCCAUCAGAGGGGAUAACAGUUGGAAACAGGUGCUAAACCGAUAUUGAAGGAUGGACCAGCGGAGCAUGAGCUAGUUGGUGGGGUACCGGUUCACCAAGGCCACGAGGCAUAGCUGGCCGUAGAGGGGGAUCGUCCACACUGGGACUGAGACACGGCCCAGACUCCUACGUGAGGCAGCAGUAGGGAAUCUUCGACAAUGGACGAAAGUCUGACCGAGCAACGCCGCGUGAGUGAAGAAGGUUUUCGGAUCGUAAAACUCUGUUGUUAGAGAGGCGGUAUCUACCCAGAAAGCCACGGCUAACUCCGUGCCAGCCGCCGCGGUAAUAC
RNAcentral lists this ribosomal RNA (403 nucleotides) under uncultured bacterium. Its description in RNAcentral is "partial 16S ribosomal RNA". It matches the Rfam family "Bacterial small subunit ribosomal RNA", at positions 28 to 526 of the family's 1533-position model. The record is from RNAcentral.